Non-coding RNA from Rattus norvegicus (Norway rat), 1630 nucleotides. Lineage: Eukaryota; Metazoa; Chordata; Mammalia; Rodentia; Muridae. The record is from RefSeq and is a predicted model, not a curated record.
UAUUGGGGUGUAAGGUGAAUAAAUUAAUUAAUGAAGAAAAAAGGAAAUCCUAGAAAGAAGGUUCAAGUUCAGACCCCUUUCUCCCCCCUACUCCCCACACCUGCCAUGGUGUUAUUUUAUCCUUUCCAAAAUAAUUGUAUUAAUUAUCUGGGUGUUUAAUAUCUAUUCUGAGCGUAUUCACUUCCUACUCCUUCCCCUAACUCCUAAACCUGCCCUCCUACUCCCUUCAAUGUCAUGUCAUCUUUAAUUUUCUUUAAUAACCACCAAGUCCAGUUUUGUGUCGCCCCAUCAGACACCACACCCUUAAAGAAAACUCACUCUUGGAGCUGGGGAUUUAGCUCAGUGGUAGAGCGCUUGCCUAGGAAGCGCAAGGCCCUGGGUUCGGUCCCCAGCUCCGGAAAAAAAGAACCAAAAAAAAAAAAAAAAAAAAAAAGAAAACUCACUCUUUCCCCUGCAAACAUCAACUGUCUGUGUCUCGUCAGUUACGGAUGGAAUCUCACACUCUCUGCCACUCUAUGAACUUCAUGCUAGAAUGCUGGCUGUCCUGAUCUUGUGUGGGGAGUCAAAGCUGCCUACAACGUUGUGCAGUGUCACUGUCUAGCCCAGAAGACACUGUUUUGUUCCCCUGUCAACGUCUUCUUUUCCCAUGAAUAAACUUUACAUGACCCCGGGUAUGUAAGUAUGUGAAAUAGUUAUGCAAGAAAACGUGUGCUGAUGGUAAAUAAUAAGUAUUUCUUUUAAAAACAAUUCCUUGUUAUGUAUAUGUGGUGGUUUGAAUAGGCUUGGCCGGUGGGAAGUAACACUACUAGGAGGUGUGGCCUUGUGGGAGGAAGUUUGUCACUGUGGGGGUGGGCUUUGAGGUCCUGUGCUCAAGCUCCACCCAGUGGAGAAGAGAGCCUGCUCCUGGCUGCCUACAGAGGACAGUCUCUUCCUGGUUGCCCUCAGAUGAACAUGUAGAACUCUCAGCUCCUCCUGCAUCAUGCUUUACUAGAUGCUGCUAUGCUCCCACCUUGAUGAUAAUGGACUGAGUCUCUGAACCUGUAAGCCAGCCCCAAUUAAAUGUUGUCCUUUAUAAGAGUUGCCUUGGUCAUGGUGUCUAGUUCACAGCAAUGAAACCCAACUAAGAAAACAUACAAUAAUAAUAAUAAUAAUAAUAAUAAUAAUAAUAAUAAUAAUAAUAUUGUCCUUUUUUAAAGGACAAAAUCAAAUCUGUUCACAGAUGUUGUGGUUUGCCCUGAAGUUGCUGUAUUUUGAUGAUAAUUUCACUGCCCCAAGGACAGCUGCCUAGUCGCAUACUCAGGACUCAGGCCACAGAGCAUCUUUCGUGUUCCUCAAAGCUGCUCAGUACUUUGAUGUCUGGCGCAUAAUUGUCAACGCUAGGAACGCAACUUCACUUAAAUGCAUAAAACAAAAUGCCAAGAUUAUGUUUAUGGCCAUUUCAGAAGUUGUUGUCGAGUACCAAUCUCAGGCAAAGCUUCAUCUGUUGAUUUCUGAAACUCGAGGGAGAACUCAGCGGCUUCCAAACCUCAAGCAUUCUGAUACGGUGUAACCUGAAGGUCUAUUAAAUUGAUAUCCACUGAAGAAUAGAGUAGAAAUAUAUCAACAGUCUGUUUUCUGUAAUAAAACCAUU